Molecule: long non-coding RNA, 937 nt
Filed under: Pan troglodytes (chimpanzee)
Lineage: Eukaryota; Metazoa; Chordata; Mammalia; Primates; Hominidae
Description: long non-coding RNA NONPTRT005449
Source: RNAcentral
CAUGAUGGAACUGGGUUUUAGCAAAGAUUUGGAGUAGAAAAGCCAUUUGACGUGUUUUGUGAUAAAAUAUACAAAGCACAUAAUUAUUUUCUUCAUCCCAAACAGAAAUUCUGUACCUUUUUUUGUUGAGAUGGAGUCUCACUCUGUUGCACAAGCUGGAGUGUGGUGGCACGAUCUCAGCUCACCACGACCUCUGCCUCCCAUAUUCAAGGGAUUCUCCUGCCUCAGCCUCCUGAGUAGCUGGGAUUACAAGCAUGCGCCACCAUGCCCAGCUAAUUUUUUAUUUUUAUAGACAGGGGGUUUCUCCAUGUUGGUCAGGCUGGUCUUGAACUCCCCACCUCAGGUGAUCCACUCUAGCAAAUUGGAAGAUGUCAGUUUUGUAACUUCAAAGGUAACUUUAAAGUCUACUUGUUAAAUAGACCUUAAUAAGUCUAUUUAAUAGCCCAUAAGUUUGUAGCACAUUUUAUAUGUGUGUUUGUGUAUAUACAUACAUAUAUAUACACACACACACACACACCUUGAUAGCCUUUAUUGUUCAAAAUCCUCUACGGUUUCCUUUAGCACUGGAACAAGAAUCCACGCUCUAAUAUGCGUGGAAGAGCCCAUGCUAUCUGGCCCUGACUCCUUCUACUUUCUUCUUCCCUCCCUUCCCGUUGCUCACCUGACUCCAACCAUAUUGCUGUGACAAUGCUUUGUAACAAACAAUUCCCAAAUCUCAGUAGCCUACAGAUACAAACUUUUUUUUUUUUUUUUAACUUGCAAGGUCUGUGAAUUGGUUGGCGUGACAUUGUUUUAGGCUAUGGGUCAAGUUCUAGUCUGCAACGUAUGUCUCUCAUACUGGGUCCAGCAGCUACACUGGGCAUGCUUUUCUCGCAGCAGAUAGCAGCAAAGAACCCAAACAGAACUACCCGAGCACACACAGACCUCUGCUCAUGUU